RNAcentral lists this ribosomal RNA (459 nucleotides) under Salmonella enterica subsp. enterica serovar Heidelberg. Its description in RNAcentral is "bacterial SSU rRNA". It matches the Rfam family "Bacterial small subunit ribosomal RNA", at positions 1 to 456 of the family's 1533-position model. Lineage: Bacteria; Pseudomonadati; Pseudomonadota; Gammaproteobacteria; Enterobacterales; Enterobacteriaceae. The record is from RNAcentral.
AAAUUGAAGAGUUUGAUCAUGGCUCAGAUUGAACGCUGGCGGCAGGCCUAACACAUGCAAGUCGAACGGUAACAGGAAGCAGCUUGCUGCUUUGCUGACGAGUGGCGGACGGGUGAGUAAUGUCUGGGAAACUGCCUGAUGGAGGGGGAUAACUACUGGAAACGGUGGCUAAUACCGCAUAACGUCGCAAGACCAAAGAGGGGGACCUUCGGGCCUCUUGCCAUCAGAUAUGCCCAGAUGGGAUUAGCUUGUUGGUGAGGUAACGGCUCACCAAGGCGACGAUCCCUAGCUGGUCUGAGAGGAUGACCAGCCACACUGGAACUGAGACACGGUCCAGACUCCUACGGGAGGCAGCAGUGGGGAAUAUUGCACAAUGGGCGCAAGCCUGAUGCAGCCAUGCCGCGUGUAUGAAGAAGGCCUUCGGGUUGUAAAGUACUUUCAGCGGGGAGGAAGGUGUUG